AUUGAACGCUGGCGGCAGGCCUAACACAUGCAAGUCGAACGGCAGCGGGGGAUAGCUUGCUAUCCUGCCGGCGAGUGGCGGACGGGUGAGUAAUGCAUGGGGAGCUGCCCAAUCGAGGGGGAUACCAACUGGAAACGGUUGCUAAUACCGCAUACGCCCUGCGGGGGAAAGGUGGGGACCUACGGGCCUACCGCGAUUGGAUGCACCCAUGUGGGAUUAGCUGGUUGGUGAGGUAACGGCUCACCAAGGCGACGAUCUCUAGCUGGUCUGAGAGGAUGACCAGCCACACUGGAACUGAGACACGGUCCAGACUCCUACGGGAGGCAGCAGUGGGGAAUAUUGCACAAUGGGGGAAACCCUGAUGCAGCCAUGCCGCGUGUGUGAAGAAGGCCUUCGGGUUGUAAAGCACUUUCAGUAGGGAGGAAGGGGUGAUGACUAAUAUUCAUCAUCAUUGACGUUACCUACAGAAGAAGCACCGGCUAACUCCGUG
Molecule: ribosomal RNA, 490 nt
Filed under: uncultured bacterium
Lineage: Bacteria
Description: bacterial SSU rRNA
Rfam family: Bacterial small subunit ribosomal RNA
Source: RNAcentral